GAGAGCUGGAGUUUGUUGGCUGAGCUGUGAAGAAGAAGGAGUCUGCUGUGAGGAGCUGCUCAUGAGAAAUCACUGAGAAGAAAUAAAGAAUCUAAAGGUCACUUCAUGGAAUUUCUUCAGCCCCAGAAGCCCUUGCCUUGGGAAUGCAGCUACAAGAUCAGUUCCUUCAGGAGCAGUGGAUCCUACUGGAACUUCUCCCACUGAGCUCAGUGUAUACAAGAUGAGACUCACCUGGCUGGCUGUUGCAGAGUGCAGAACACUUUUAUUCUGAAGAGACUUCCUGGUCAGGCCAGUCUUGCCUGUGGAAAGUUUCUGUGCAGAACAGGAUCCUUGGCAAGAAUUCACCUCUGCCAGCAACAGAUCUGUUCUUCUUGUGGAAGUAAGUUGACCAAAAAAUUGAGAUAUUCUGGUGUAUUUCUUGUCCUCAACACUGGAGAUGCUCAAGACCACGACAGAAAUUCAAGUACAACCCAAGAGAUAACUUCAAGAGGUUUAAGAAUAGAUGGAGCCUAUGUGAAGCCACUGUCCCAUUGUUUGUCAUGCAAAAGUUUUAUCUUGCACUUGAUGUGGUAUGGCUGCAGCUGUUGAAACAAUCUAGCUUCCUGAAAGAGCUCUGCCAAGCGAUGUGCUGUGGUCUGGGAGCAGCGUGGGAUCCCCUGCCUGAUCCAGGAAUGCUUGGAGGGAGCCAGGCUGUGCCCACCCUCACACCUGGGGACUGUUACAAAGCUGUCACAGGGAGUUUUCACAGCACUGCAUGUGUCAUUUUGAGUCUUGUGGAACACGAUUUGGGGGAUCCCAUGCAAAAACCAGAGCUGGUGCUGGCUCAGCACAAUGACAGGCUCAGCUCGGCCAGAGAGAGGAGAGAGGACACAGGCUGCCACCUGCCGCGUGGGACAGACACACGGACACAGGCUGCCCUCUGCCUGCGGGGACAGGCAAGGACAGCCCCCGCUGCCCAGCGUGGCUGCUCAAACAAGUUUAAAGGAGCUUAAAUCUGAAGAGAUGUGGGUGGGAAGUUUAAAAAUAUCGAAUUAUUUAGUGAGCACUGUGCAUCCUUGGAUAAAUGAGGGGACACUGUCUGGUAUGAAGUUAGCUGCUGCUCCACUCGCUCCAAGUACAGGAAUAGGUGUUGUCCUUGUGUCUUAGACACGCACCUGGAACCCCCAGACCCUUUGGGGCAGCCCAGGUAGAUCAUGGCCAUCCUUCCCACGGGCUGCAGUGACGGCCCCGGUCCCCGCCCAGCCCAGCAGAGCCGGGUGCCAGGGCACAGCCAGCCCCCACAGGGACAGAGAGUGCCAUGCCCGGGGCCUCCCUGUGCUUCACAGCAGCUUGAGGAGUACCAUAAAACAUUCCCUGCAGCUUCAGCUGUCCCAGAGAAGUCUGGAGAGCAAUUUUCAUGUAGUUUUAAGGAAGGACUAGGAAAAUACCAAGAAACAUAAACCUUCCAAUACUGAUAAUCUGGAGAAUGUAUCAAUCCUGUCACUGACUCUAGGAUAAACAUGUAGGAAAUGAAACUGGGUAUUUCUGUCUCAUCAGCUUCUUGUUCAUAUCCAAGAGACAUACAGGUAGAUUCAUCCUGUCAUACAAGCAGCCAGUCAUAUGGACACCACUGUGGGAAGAUGCAGGGGAGACAGGGUCAGUGAUCUCUGUUCUGCAUGCCCCAGGAGUGUGGGAUGCUCAGUGCUGGCUCUCCAAGGUCUGUGCCUUUGGUUACCUCCUGUCAGUGCUUUUUGUCACUUACUCCUCUCCUGCAUUUGUUCAGGACCUAUUUUUCCAACAUCCCUUUGGUCACAGACAUUUUUUGCUGAUUCCCUACUAGGAUGAAAAUAAAUUGGACUUUAUCACAACUGCUAGUAUAUCCAGGGAGCAAGAGGCCAUUGCCUCUUUGUGUAAAGUGAUGGGAAAGGGCUCUCUAGCACUCUGAAAGCUUUAAAAACCUUGCUUUCAGUUUGGAAGGGAAUUUCAACUAAAA
Long non-coding RNA from Zonotrichia leucophrys gambelii, 1972 nucleotides. RefSeq lists it as uncharacterized. The transcript is spliced from 7 exons. The record is from RefSeq and is a predicted model, not a curated record. Lineage: Eukaryota; Metazoa; Chordata; Aves; Passeriformes; Passerellidae.